Molecule: ribosomal RNA, 236 nt
Filed under: uncultured bacterium
Lineage: Bacteria
Description: partial 16S ribosomal RNA
Rfam family: Bacterial small subunit ribosomal RNA
Source: RNAcentral
UACGUAGGGUGCGAGCGUUGUCCGGAAUUACUGGGCGUAAAGAGCUCGUAGGUGGUUUGUCGCGUUGUUCGUGAAAACUCACAGCUUAACUGUGGGCGUGCGGGCGAUACGGGCAGUCUGGAGUACUGCAGGGGAGACUGGAAUUCCUGGUGUAGCGGUGGAAUGCGCAGAUAUCAGGAGGAACACCGGUGGCGAAGGCGGGUCUCUGGGCAGUAACUGACGCUGAGGAGCGAAAG